CUUGUGGAGAGUUAUAUCAAACGAAAGUAGUCCAGACGAAAUCGGAUUCGUUGAAGCAAGAA
The submitters of this non-coding RNA (62 nucleotides) gave its source as unclassified sequences. The record is from Rfam.